RNAcentral lists this long non-coding RNA (1752 nucleotides) under Crocodylus porosus (Australian saltwater crocodile). RNAcentral's name for it is "lncRNA (ENSCPRG00005005460.1)". Lineage: Eukaryota; Metazoa; Chordata; Crocodylia; Crocodylidae. The record is from RNAcentral.
AUGGAGUCGGCGCUGAUACGCCACUGCCCGUGGCGCACAGGGGACCGUGGCUGUGCAGACUCGGACGACCUGUGGGCGCACAUCGCUUACCACCAGGCGGACGGCCCUAGCGGCCCAUUAAUCACCGGGUAUUUGUCUCUGGCCGGGGACAAAGGGGGCAAGGAGUGGGCCAUCCGACUGGCAUCGAGCUCUUUCGGAUGCGUUAUGAGCUGGAAGGGAGUGGCCUUUCGGCCCAGCGACGAGGUGGGCAGCCUGCCUCUGGCGCGGGGGAAGCCCCGCGGCGCGGGGAACCCCACACCCGCCCAGGAGUUCGCUCGCUGCAUCCAGCACGUGCGGGAAGCGGGAGAGGCCACCCCGGCCGAUAAGUUUAAUUGCCCGAACCUGCCUCCCGAUUCGCGCGGACACGAACUACUGACGCGACUCCGCGAGAGCUUAGAGUCGGAAGGCCGGACGGCGGCGAAGUGGACCGGGCCCAAGUGGGACAAGGGCAAAAUGAUGAACGUCCUGUUCCGCGCCGUGUCGGUCUUGCUGCGCGAGAACGCGAACUUGGAGGCGCAGCUGCGCACGGCCAGCGAACACGCCGCGGCCCUGGCGCUGAGGGGCAGCCCGCCGCCGCCGCCCCAAGAUGGCGCCCGCCAGGAGCAGCCGCUGCGCAGGCGCUACCCCAGCCUGGAGGCGCUGGCGGAAGGGACGUCACGGCCGGACCGCCCCCCCGCCACGGCGCCGCCCCCUCCGUACGCGGAAGACGCUCCCGCGGCCCCGGCGCCGGCAGCCGGAGCGCCUGCUGGCGGGGGCGGCGCGGCGAGCGCGAACUCACGCGGCCCCCGCACGCGCGCCGAGAUGGCCGGUCUCCGGGAGGAGACAGGCAUCCGGCCGGGAGAGACGCCUGUCGUCUGGCUGGGCCGCUUAGUAGUAGAGGCAGGAUACGAAACCCUCGACGCAGGGGAAGCGGUGCAGCUAGCCCGCAGCGCGGCGUGGAGCCGCGGGAUAGUCACCGGCUCCGAUGCCGUCCUCCAGAACCGACACUGGCCGAUUCCCCUCCCGGCUCUCGCGGUGGAAGCCCUCUUCCAAAAGCCGCAUGUCUGGCACAAAGGGCGAAAUGAUGAUGACACCAGCUCCGCCGAAACCCUCCUUUUCGCUGUAGUCGGGUGCUCGUACGCCAUGUGGUACCCAGGAACCAGCCCCAUGGGGUUGGCCCAAGCACACCAAAACGGGCGCUGGCCUCACCGAUUCCUCUUCAGCCCAGGCGCGGUCCCGUGUACCGCAGAAGCCAUCGAAAGUGCCACCGAGCUCUACGGAGGGCCCCAAGGGUUACUGAGUAAACUACUGCUAAACUUGAACAUCGGACAACCGGUAUUGUCUGUCCUCAGUCACCAAGGCCAGUUACAAGCAACUAUGGGCCAGGGCCCCGGCAAGCGAGCGCAAGUCCAAGUCGCCACCUCUACCUACCUGCCGCAAAAGGGGGGCGGCGUAGGCGCCCGCUACCCCCGACGACAGCCGCCUCAACGAUCAGCAGAGGAGAGGGCCAUGUUCGGAUUCCUGCUAAACCACUCCAAGCUCAGCAAAGCCCAGCUGCGGAUGCUAGGAGAUGAAGGUCAGUGCCAUCUCGCCGAAUGUUUCGGAUUCAAGUGGACAUCUGACCACCAACAAAAGAAACUAAGUGCAGCCGACGACUUGCGAUCCUACAGCCGCCUCGCCGUCGCAGACAUCAUAACUGACUUACCCUAUAGGCACUUAGAACAAAUACAGUAA